This 490-nucleotide ribosomal RNA is filed under the name uncultured bacterium. RNAcentral describes it as "partial 16S ribosomal RNA". It matches the Rfam family "Bacterial small subunit ribosomal RNA", at positions 28 to 507 of the family's 1533-position model. The record is from RNAcentral.
GAUGAACGCUAGCUACAGGCUUAACACAUGCAAGUCGCAGGGUAACAUGAGGAAAGCUUGCUUUCCUUGAUGACGACUGGCGCACGGGUGAGUAACGCGUAUCCAACCUUCCCAUAACUACGGGAUAACCCGUUGAAAGACGGCCUAAUACCGUAUGACAUCGUUUGCUGACAUCAAAUAACGAUUAAAGGUUUAGCGGUUAUGGAUGGGGAUGCGUCUGAUUAGCUUGUUGGCGGGGUAACGGCCCACCAAGGCGACGAUCAGUAGGGGUUCUGAGAGGAAGGUCCCCCACAUUGGAACUGAGACACGGUCCAAACUCCUACGGGAGGCAGCAGUGAGGAAUAUUGGGCAAUGGGCGAGAGCCUGAACCAGCCAAGUAGCGUGCAGGAUGACGGCCCUAUGGGUUGUAAACUGCUUUUAUGUGGGGAUAAAGUGCGUGACGUGUCAUGCAUUGCAGGUACCACAUGAAUAAGGACCGGCUAAUUCCGUG